GGGAAUGUGGCUCAGUGGUAGAGUGCCUGCCUAGCAUGCAGGAAGCCCUGGGUUUGAUUCCUCAGCACCA
This 70-nucleotide transfer RNA is filed under the name Dipodomys ordii (Ord's kangaroo rat). It matches the Rfam family "tRNA". Rfam says of the family: Transfer RNA (tRNA) molecules are approximately 80 nucleotides in length. Their secondary structure includes four short double-helical elements and three loops (D, anti-codon, and T loops). Lineage: Eukaryota; Metazoa; Chordata; Mammalia; Rodentia; Heteromyidae. The record is from Rfam by way of RNAcentral.